This 484-nucleotide ribosomal RNA is filed under the name uncultured bacterium. Its description in RNAcentral is "partial 16S ribosomal RNA". It matches the Rfam family "Bacterial small subunit ribosomal RNA", at positions 29 to 507 of the family's 1533-position model. The record is from RNAcentral.
AGUGAACGCUGGCGGCAGGCCUAACACAUGCAAGUCGAGCGGAUGAAGGGAGCUUGCUCCUGGAUUCAGCGGCGGACGGGUGAGUAAUGCCGAGGAAUCUGCCUGGUAGUGUGGGAUAACGUCCGGAAACGGGCGCUAAUACCGCAUACGUCCUGAGGGAGAAAGUGGGGGAUCUUCGGACCUCACGCUAUCAGAUGAGCCUAGGUCGGAUUAGCUAGUUGGUGGGGUAAAGGCCUACCAAGGCGACGAUCCGUAACUGGUCUGAGAGGAUGAUCAGUCACACUGGAACUGAGACACGGUCCAGACUCCUACGGGAGGCAGCAGUGGGGAAUAUUGGACAAUGGGCGAAAGCCUGAUCCAGCCAUGCCGCGUGUGUGAAGAAGGUCUUCGGAUUGUAAAGCACUUUAAGUUGGGAGGAAGGGCAGUAAGUUAAUACCUUGCUGUUUUGACGUUACCAACAGAAUAAGCACCGGCUAACUUCGUG